GGAGCGGUAGCUCAGUUGGUUAGAGCGCUGCCCUGUCACGGCAGAGGUCGCGGGUUCGAGCCCCGUCCGCUCCG
This 74-nucleotide transfer RNA is filed under the name Patescibacteria group bacterium. RNAcentral's name for it is "tRNA-Asp". It matches the Rfam family "tRNA". Rfam says of the family: Transfer RNA (tRNA) molecules are approximately 80 nucleotides in length. The record is from RNAcentral.